GAGCAGAUGAGUUGGGAAGUAGUGAACAUUGUAGUUCUGGAUGCCUUGGACGCCGGCACCCGCCGCUUUUAUACUUGUCUCCGAGGUCGUAUCUACUGCGAUUUGUACUAUUAUUAUUUAGUUUUUUCUCCGACCCAUAUCCUUUGUUU
Molecule: non-coding RNA, 149 nt
Organism: Caenorhabditis elegans
Lineage: Eukaryota; Metazoa; Nematoda; Chromadorea; Rhabditida; Rhabditidae
Source: Ensembl